Long non-coding RNA from Carassius gibelio (silver crucian carp), 2141 nucleotides. RefSeq lists it as uncharacterized. The transcript is spliced from 2 exons. The record is from RefSeq and is a predicted model, not a curated record. Lineage: Eukaryota; Metazoa; Chordata; Actinopteri; Cypriniformes; Cyprinidae.
AGGAGUGGAUGCCGAUUUGCCAUAUCCUUCAUACUGAUAUUAAUUAUUUUAUUACAUGAUUUCUUGUUUGACUAUUAAUCAAGUUAUAGCAAGAGUGAAAUGUGUAACCUUAUGUGUGCUGUAUUUCUUUUCCUCAAGAUUAAUGUCCACAUAUUAUGUGUGUGUAUCCAACCGUAAUGAUAAGACACUCGCCAGUGCUAGAAAGCCUUGAAUUUUAGAUAAGUUCUCUGUGUACGUGUGUUAGUAUCUGUCUGUACAGGGAGAAGCUCAGACAGUCCCAGGACAAACAAUCAACUGCCAGUGUCCAGCAUAUCAGAUAUACGUCUUUGGAGAGUUUUAUCUAGGUUUUGGAACCAAUCAGAAUUUUGUUGACUCAUGUAUUGACGCAAUUAGUAUCCUCUGUCAGGGUAUAACUGUGGUUGAUUUUGUAUUGUACUGGGGGCGGCCUGCGAACUCCUUCGAGAGUGUUGAAGCUGACUUCUGCUGAUGAAAUUGCAAACUAUUUUCUUCAAUUAAUGGUGGAGGAUCGGCGGGCAAUAGUUCUUUGUUGACAUCCCUGAUCAAUCAUCAAACCAAGGUAGGAAAGAUUUUAGAUUUAAUAUUAUUGGUUAGGAACUGUCUGUGAGUGGAGGGGGUCGAGAGAAGGAGGAACGAUAGACUCACUCAGACGUGAGGGGGUAGACACCAGCUCCAGGGUGGAGUAGGUAAAUUGGUGUCACAAUAUACCUGUAAAUAAGUAACCUUGUGAGUAUAAGGGGUACAAGUACACAUCGGUAGGUCUUGAUAUAAGAUAUUUAGAGAUGUGUACAGUUACAGAGGGAACAGGUGCACACCUAUAGGUCUUAGAGAGAGAUGUAAAAAUUUGUUUCUAGGUGUGCACAGUCCAGGGGGGGACAAAAACGCAUUCUUAACAGGCAUGUGAACCCGUAAAGGGCAGUGCUGGGUCAAGCACCGAGGGACAAAGGACACAUAAGGCCGUAAAUAGGCAGUGCUGGGUCAAGCACAGAGAGCCAAAAAGCACGAGAGGCCAUAAAGGGCAGUGCAUUUACGGCCGGGUAAGCCAAAGUAGGGGUAUGGGAAAUCCCGAGAAGAAUGUAAGACGCUAGACGGGGGUUCUAGUCGUAUCUCGCUCUUCCAACUCUCGAUCACCCACCAUUACAGACAGGGGCGCCCCGAGCUUAGAAAUAGGCCAGGUCAGUGGUUAGGGAAAAGAGUAUCCAAAAUUAGUGUUUAAAAAUAAAUAGUGAUAAUUCAUAUGUGCACCUAUAAAAAUAUAGGGAUAUAUGCAAAGGGAAAGUAUUGAUUGAUCUGGGAUGCCUCAGGAACAACCCCAAAAGAGCUAAAAUGUAGUUUUCAUGACCCUGAUUGGAUUGGACCAGUAUAUGGAAAUUCUGGAAUAUACUUUGCAAUUUCAUCACGCAGAAGUCAAGUGCUGUUGGUAAGAUCGCCGCCUCAAUAUGUUUUUGGUUUAUGAUAGAAAUAUGACUGACAAAUUAGGUAACCUGGUCAGCCCUGAUAGAAAUAAUGAAACAGAAGAGAGCAAAUGCUGUAAACAGUUUGGCUCUGAAGCUCUGACUUUAAAAAAAUAUAUAUAUUCUCUGAAUUCAUUUAAAGAAUGAUCAGUCUGAGCUUUAAUUCUGAUUGUAAUGUUAAAACAAAAACUUGAUUGGCUUUAAACUUAGAAAGAACCUGAGAAAUAAACAUUUAUAAAUGUAUGUGCCGAUUUGUUAAAAAUAAUCCCAGAAGUAACUGAGUGAUGAUUUAAUCUGAUUCUCUGUGCAUAGAAGGUUUAAAUGACAAAGAAUGAUAUCAUAAGACCUGUUCCAGUUCCUAUAUAAUUGUUGAAAGUCCUGACAAGGAAUACUGAACAGAAUUCUGGGUUAGUGAAAAAAAAAAAAAAAAAAAAAAACUGUAGGCACACAAAUUGGCAGUGGCAUUUUGGAAAAACUUAGAAGCUUAUGUUUUGUUAAAAAAAGAUAAAAUUACUUUGACUACAAUGAAGCCGUUGUUUUAUCUCAUGCUGGCCCCCACCAUGACUCUGGCUUAAGCUUUGAAAGUACCAGAGACAUGUUCUGAGUAAAAAAAAAAAAUAAAGUAAUUCCUAUAUUUACUAAUGUUUGGCCAAAAGAGUAAUUUUAUUG